RNAcentral lists this ribosomal RNA (230 nucleotides) under uncultured bacterium. RNAcentral's name for it is "partial 16S ribosomal RNA". It matches the Rfam family "Bacterial small subunit ribosomal RNA", at positions 562 to 791 of the family's 1533-position model. The record is from RNAcentral.
AAAGCGUGCGCAGGCGGUUUUGUAAGACAGUGGUGAAAUCCCCGGGCUCAACCUGGGAACUGCCAUUGUGACUGCAAAGCUAGAGUGCGGCAGAGGGGGAUGGAAUUCCGCGUGUAGCAGUGAAAUGCGUAGAUAUGCGGAGGAACACCGAUGGCGAAGGCAAUCCCCUGGGCCUGCACUGACGCUCAUGCACGAAAGCGUGGGGAGCAAACAGGAUUAGAUACCCUAGU